Molecule: small nuclear RNA, 172 nt
Filed under: Fukomys damarensis (Damara mole-rat)
Lineage: Eukaryota; Metazoa; Chordata; Mammalia; Rodentia; Bathyergidae
Description: U2 spliceosomal RNA
Rfam family: U2 spliceosomal RNA
About the family: U2 is a small nuclear RNA (snRNA) component of the spliceosome (involved in pre-mRNA splicing).
Source: Rfam by way of RNAcentral
AUCGCUCCUCGGCCUUUUGGCUAAGAUCAAGUGUAGUAUCUAAGCACUUUCAAUGUUGGGUAAAAUAUUAAUACUAAUUGUUAAAAUGAUAUGAUUGAUAUAGAAAUCCACCUUCUUUAUAAUUUUUGUAUUAGAGUAAUAUUGCAUAAGCAAAUUUCUCCCUGAACUGAAA